GAUGGGAGCUUGCUCCCUGAUGUUAGCGGCGGACGGGUGAGUAACACGUGGGUAACCUGCCUGUAAGACUGGGAUAACUCCGGGAAACCGGGGCUAAUACCGGAUGGUUGUYUGAACCGCAUGGUUCAGACAUAAAAGGUGGCUUCGGCUACCACUUACAGAUGGACCCGCGGCGCAUUAGCUAGUUGGUGAGGUAACGGCUCACCAAGGCGACGAUGCGUAGCCGACCUGAGAGGGUGAUCGGCCACACUGGGACUGAGACACGGCCCAGACUCCUACGGGAGGCAGCAGUAGGGAAUCUUCCGCAAUGGACGAAAGUCUGACGGAGCAACGCCGCGUGAGUGAUGAAGGUUUUCGGAUCGUAAAGCUCUGUUGUUAGGGAAGAACAAGUGCCGUUCAAAUAGGGCGGCACCUUGACGGUACCUAACCAGAAAGCCACGGCUAACUACGUGCCAGCAGCCGCGGUAAUACGUAGGUGGCAAGCGUUGUCCGGAAUUAUUGGGCGUAAAGGGCUCGCAGGCGGUUUCUUAAGUCUGAUGUGAAAGCCCCCGGCUCAACCGGGGAGGGUCAUUGGAAACUGGGGAACUUGAGUGCAGAAGAGGAGAGUGGAAUUCCACGUGUAGCGGUGAAAUGCGUAGAGAUGUGGAGGAA
RNAcentral lists this ribosomal RNA (651 nucleotides) under Bacillus velezensis. RNAcentral's name for it is "bacterial SSU rRNA". Lineage: Bacteria; Bacillati; Bacillota; Bacilli; Caryophanales; Bacillaceae. The record is from RNAcentral.